GUGUCAGCCGCCGCGGUAAUACGUAGGGGGCAAGCGUUGUCCGGAAUUACUGGGCGUAAAGGGCGUGUAGGCGGCCGAUCAAGUCAGGUGUGAAAUUCCAGGGCUCAACCCUGGGCGUGCAUUUGAAACUGGUUGGCUUGAGUGCAGGAGAGGAAAGUGGAAUUCCCAGUGUAGCGGUGAAAUGCGUAGAUAUUGGGAGGAACACCAGUGGCGAAGGCGACUUUCUGGCCUGUAACUGACGCUGAGGCGCGAAAGCUAGGGGAGCAAACAGGAUUAGAUACCCUGGUAGUCCUAGCCGUAA
RNAcentral lists this ribosomal RNA (301 nucleotides) under uncultured bacterium. RNAcentral describes it as "bacterial SSU rRNA". It matches the Rfam family "Bacterial small subunit ribosomal RNA", at positions 505 to 805 of the family's 1533-position model. The record is from RNAcentral.